Molecule: ribosomal RNA, 460 nt
Filed under: uncultured bacterium
Lineage: Bacteria
Description: partial 16S ribosomal RNA
Rfam family: Bacterial small subunit ribosomal RNA
Source: RNAcentral
CUACGGGCCGCUGCAGUAAGGAAUAUUGGGCAAUGGACGCAAGUCUGACCCAGCCAUGCCGCGUGUAGGAUGACAGCCCUACGGGUUGUAAACUGCUUUUAUACGGGAAAAAUUCCCCGGUCGUGAAUCGGGGUUGAUGGUACCGUAAGAAUAAGCAUCGGCUAACUCCGUGCCAGCGGCCGCGGUAAUACGGAGGAUGCAAGCGUUAUCCGGAUUCAUUGGGUUUAAAGGGUGCGUAGGCGGGAUGAUAAGUCAGUGGUGAAAUCCUACAGCUUAACUGUAGAACUGCCAUUGAUACUGUUGUUCUUGAGUACAUUUGAAGUGGGCGGAAUGUGUCAUGUAGCGGUGAAAUGCAUAGAGAUGACACAGAACACCGAUCGCGAAGGCAGCUCACUAAACUGUAACUGACGCUGAGGCACGAAAGCGUGGGGAUCAAACAGGAUUAGAUACCCCCGUAGUC